Molecule: ribosomal RNA, 253 nt
Filed under: uncultured bacterium
Lineage: Bacteria
Description: partial 16S ribosomal RNA
Rfam family: Bacterial small subunit ribosomal RNA
Source: RNAcentral
UACGUAGGGGGCAAGCGUUGUCCGGAAUCAUUGGGCGUAAAGCGCGUGUAGGCGGUCCGAUAAGUUCGCUGUGAAAGCCGGGGGCUUAACCCUCGGAUGCCGGUGAAUACUGUCGGGCUUGAGUACGGAAGAGGCGAGUGGAAUUCCUGGUGUAGCGGUGAAAUGCGCAGAUAUCAGGAGGAACACCAAUUGCGAAGGCAGCUCGCUGGGACGUUACUGACGCUGAGACGCGAAAGCGUGGGGAGCAAACAGG